CUGCCCUCAAGCCCGGCUUGUGUGUUGGGUCCUCGUCCCCCCGGGGGACGGGCCCGAAAGGCAGCGGCGGCACCGCGUCCGGUCCUCGAGCGUAUGGGGCUUUGUCACCCGCUCUACAGGGCCGGCCGGCGCUUGCCGACCUCAACCAUUUUUUCUCA
RNAcentral lists this unclassified non-coding RNA (158 nucleotides) under uncultured Aspergillaceae. RNAcentral describes it as "sequence contains ITS2". The record is from RNAcentral. Lineage: Eukaryota; Fungi; Ascomycota; Eurotiomycetes; Eurotiales; Aspergillaceae.